This 382-nucleotide ribosomal RNA is filed under the name uncultured bacterium. RNAcentral describes it as "bacterial SSU rRNA". It matches the Rfam family "Bacterial small subunit ribosomal RNA", at positions 30 to 412 of the family's 1533-position model. The record is from RNAcentral.
AUUGAACGCUGGCGGCAUGCCUUACACAUGCAAGUCGAACGGCAGCACGGGAGCAAUCCUGGUGGCGAGUGGCGAACGGGUGAGUAAUAUAUCGGAACGUGCCCGGUCGUGGGGGAUAACGUAGCGAAAGCUACGCUAAUACCGCAUACGAUCUACGGAUGAAAGCGGGGGAUCGCAAGACCUCGCGCGAUUGGAGCGGCCGAUAUCAGAUUAGGUAGUUGGUGAGGUAAAGGCUCACCAAGCCGACGAUCUGUAGCUGGUCUGAGAGGACGACCAGCCACACUGGGACUGAGACACGGCCCAGACUCCUACGGGAGGCAGCAGUGGGGAAUUUUAGACAAUGGGCGCAAGCCUGAUCCAGCAAUGCCGCGUGCAGGAUGAA